AUGUGGUCCUGGGUUCAAAUCCCAACUUCGCUUCUAACAGUCGAGCCCCCUGGUAACUUCUGGGAGCCUCCACGCGGCCCCGAGGCCCGAUCAGGCUGGAAGCCGGACUCAGAGUCCACCUCCCUGCGGCUGUGCCCUCUGCAGGUGCAGGGCGGGCAGGAGGCCUCCCGGGUCCAUCAGGUUCAUGUCCUCCCCCUCCAGCCUCAGGACCGGGGCCCCCCACCUCCUCCUCCCCUCGCUCUGGCUGCCACCAGGCCUCUCCCCGAGCAUCACCUCCUCAGAGAGGUCUUUCCAGAUCAGACCAGCGCUCUCCAGGCCUUCACUGCCCCCCCCACCCCGAGCCCGGGAGCCCCACCACCCCUGACCUUACCUGGCCUCCUCCCUGCGACCAUCAGCUUCACCGGGGCAGGGGUUUUGUUCGCCUGUUUUUUUCACUGUCAUCCCAGUGUCUGUCGCAGUUCCAGGCACAUACCCGAUAUCCGAUGCAUAUUUGUUGGACGAUCCUCCCCCAGAAAUAUUGGGGGCCGGGGUGGCGGGUCUGGGCAAGUCAGCCCCAUGCAGGACACCAGCCUCACUCGCUCCUUCCUCUGGGUGCCCCAAGGCUGGCGGGGUGACCCCGUGGGGGUGCCCUCUGGCUGUGGGAGUGCCCACACUCCCGGCUCGCAGCUCCGACACCUGCGCUCAGGUGCCCGACAUCCCCAGGCCCCACUGGCCCGAUUCUCAGGUGAGAGAGCAGAACCCCAGCCGGGUCGGUGCCCAGGGGCACGCGGGGUGGCGGGUGUGAGAGAGGAGGGGCACCAGGGGCCCCUAGGGAGGCGACAGCCCCCACGUCAUCCUCUUCCCCCAGCAGUAAUUUCUGCAGGCCGUUAUCGGAAGCAGGGGGCAGGUCACAAAGCACGAGUCCCACCGUUACAGACUUCGGGGACCUUGGAGCAGCUUCACCUUGGUGGGGGUCGAGGGGCGUUGGCUGCUGACUUGGGGGGAAUGGGGGCCAGGGAGCCCUGGCUCUGCAGAUCUCUCAGCUGCUGGCUUCUUUAG
Molecule: long non-coding RNA, 1038 nt
Filed under: Vulpes vulpes (red fox)
Lineage: Eukaryota; Metazoa; Chordata; Mammalia; Carnivora; Canidae
Description: lncRNA (ENSVVUG00000007631.1)
Source: RNAcentral